UAGGGAGACCUAAUCCAUUUAGAAAUCGAAAACAAUGAAAAUUGUCAAUAGAAACUAAAUUGGUCUAACCUAGGUCGUUCGAGAUUGGUAGACAUCUUUCAAAGUAUUAUUCGGCUUCGUUCAAAACCAUAUAUAAUAAAUGGAAAAAGACAGCACCUAAUUGUCAAAGUUAGACUGCUGGAUGAAGUUCCAGCCAGAACCUUGAAAACUGCAUAAGAGAACAAGAAAAAGCAGGCAGACACAGACAUUUAGAUGGAUGUGAAAGCAAAAGAAAUUGU
RNAcentral lists this unclassified non-coding RNA (278 nucleotides) under uncultured Anabaena sp. RNAcentral describes it as "partial 16S-23S ribosomal RNA intergenic spacer". Lineage: Bacteria; Bacillati; Cyanobacteriota; Cyanophyceae; Nostocales; Nostocaceae. The record is from RNAcentral.